Microcebus murinus (gray mouse lemur) is the source of this 826-nucleotide non-coding RNA. Lineage: Eukaryota; Metazoa; Chordata; Mammalia; Primates; Cheirogaleidae. The record is from RefSeq and is a predicted model, not a curated record.
CUUCUGGCUCCCACCCUCACCACCACAGCCUCAUUAGACAAGGAAUGACGACUGCACAGCCACAGGAGUGACACUCCUGUCGCCGGGUGUGUCAUGUGGCCUCGGCAGGUGAAACAUCACAGCCAGGGUGUGAGUCUACAAUGAUGCAAUGUGGGGAGGCGGAGCCAGACAAUGGGUGGCACCUAGUGACCCAGGGAGCCGGAGAACGGGGUGGCAUCCCGGGAGAGGAGAGCAUACAAAGUUCCAGGAAGAAUCCACAAGAGCUCAGCGGCCCGAGCAUGGCCAGAGACGUGUACUUUCGAGGUUCUUGCACCCGAGGGAGGCAACUGCAUUUUCAGACAGCCGGAAGGAGGAAGUGCAAGGUCCUCGUGGAGAAUGAGAGAAAACAAGGUCCCCCCUCCCACGGCAGCAGGAGAUGGGGUCUUCUAACGUGGGGCAAAGGGGAUCCUCUAAUUCCCAGUCUCCGUCGGAUUUCCUAGAAUUUUGGUGGUGAGAAUGGAUGGAGGAGGAGGAGAGAGAAGGAAUUGCAGUCAAUACUUUGUCAUUGCCCUCAAGCUAUGAGCAACCAGCCCGGCUACAGGAGAAAGCAAAGCCGGGGGGGAGAAAUGAACUGGACCUCGAGCCCCACGUCCUGGCCUGCCUCCACCACGAACCAGAAAGUCACAUGGGAACAUGACAUCACUUUAACUCUCCAUGCCCAAUUUUACUGUGUGACAAAUGGUCAUAAUGAUAUCUGGCCCACCUGCUGUGUGGCACAGUUGGGAGGAUCGAGUGAGAAUGAGAUGUGAAAGUCCCUUUUAAAAAUAGUAAAAAGCAUGAAAUACUA